UACGAAGGGGGCUAGCGUUGUUCGGAUUUACUGGGCGUAAAGCGCACGUAGGCGGAUUGUUAAGUCGGGGGUGAAAUCCUGGAGCUCAACUUCAGAAUUGCCUUCGAUACUGGCUUUCUAGAGGCUGGAAGAGGUUAGUGGAAUUCCCAGUGUAGAGGUGAAAUUCGUAGAUAUUGGGAAGAACACCAGUGGCGAAGGCGGCUAACUGGUCCAGAUCUGACGCUGAGGAGCGAAAGCCAGGGGAGCAAACAGG
Molecule: ribosomal RNA, 253 nt
Filed under: uncultured bacterium
Lineage: Bacteria
Description: partial 16S ribosomal RNA
Rfam family: Bacterial small subunit ribosomal RNA
Source: RNAcentral